RNAcentral lists this ribosomal RNA (253 nucleotides) under uncultured bacterium. Its description in RNAcentral is "partial 16S ribosomal RNA". It matches the Rfam family "Bacterial small subunit ribosomal RNA", at positions 524 to 776 of the family's 1533-position model. The record is from RNAcentral.
UACGUAGGGCGCGAGCGUUGUCCGGAUUUAUUGGGCGUAAAGAGCUCGUAGGCGGUUUGUUGCGUCGGCUGUGAAAUCCCGAGGCUCAACCUCGGGUCUGCAGUCGAUACGAGCAAACUAGAGUGUGGUAGGGGAGAUCGGAAUUCCUGGUGUAGCGGUGAAAUGCGCAGAUAUCAGGAGGAACACCGGUGGCGAAGGCGGAUCUCUGGGCCAUUACUGACGCUGAGGAGCGAAAGCGUGGGGAGCGAACAGG